AGAUUGAACAUAAGAGUUUGAUCCUGGCUCAGAUUGAACGCUGGCGGCAUGCUUUACACAUGCAAGUCGGACGGCAGCACAGAGAAGCUUGCUUCUCGGGUGGCGAGUGGCGAACGGGUGAGUAACAUAUCGGAACGUACCGAGUAGUGGGGGAUAACUGAUCGAAAGAUCAGCUAAUACCGCAUACGUCUUGAGAGAGAAAGCAGGGGACUUUCGGGCCUUGCGCUAUUCGAGCGGCCGAUAUCUGAUUAGCUGGUUGGUGGGGUAAAGGCCUACCAAGGCGACGAUCAGUAGCGGGUCUGAGAGGAUGAUCCGCCACACUGGGACUGAGACACGGCCCAGACUCCUACGGGAGGCAGCAGUGGGGAAUUUUGGACAAUGGGCGCAAGCCUGAUCCAGCCAUGCCGCGUGUCUGAAGAAGGCCUUCGGGUUGUAAAGGACUUUUGUCAGGGAAGAAAAGGCUGUUGCUAAUACCAGCGGCCGAUGACGGUACCUGAAGAAUAAGCACCGGCUAACUACGUGCCAGCAGCCGCGGUAAUACGUAGGGUGCGAGCGUUAAUCGGAAUUACUGGGCGUAAAGCGGGCGCAGACGGUUACUUAAGCAGGAUGUGAAAUCCCCGGGCUCAACCCGGGAACUGCGUUCUGAACUGGGUGACU
This 657-nucleotide ribosomal RNA is filed under the name Neisseria meningitidis. RNAcentral describes it as "bacterial SSU rRNA". It matches the Rfam family "Bacterial small subunit ribosomal RNA", at positions 1 to 642 of the family's 1533-position model. Lineage: Bacteria; Pseudomonadati; Pseudomonadota; Betaproteobacteria; Neisseriales; Neisseriaceae. The record is from RNAcentral.